GCUGGGUACAGUGGUGCGCACCUGUCAUCCCAGCUGCUGGGGAGGCUGGGGCAGGAGGAUCACGAGUUCAAAGCCAGCCUCAGCAAUGGCAAGGCACUAAGCCACUCAGUGAGACCCUGUCUCUA
Molecule: small RNA, 125 nt
Filed under: Marmota monax (woodchuck)
Lineage: Eukaryota; Metazoa; Chordata; Mammalia; Rodentia; Sciuridae
Source: RNAcentral